RNAcentral lists this long non-coding RNA (1603 nucleotides) under Homo sapiens (human). RNAcentral describes it as "HSALNT0296605". The record is from RNAcentral. Lineage: Eukaryota; Metazoa; Chordata; Mammalia; Primates; Hominidae.
AAUGGAUUUUGGUGUGAUAUCAGUUGGUAGUACUGUCCCUGGCAAACAGACGCAUAACUGUGCAUUGUUCUUUGGGAUUUUGAGAGCCUUCAUCUCAAUUUCAACUUUAAAGCAGCUUAAUCUUUAAGGAACAUAUCUCUGAUCUGGGUAAUUUGUAGAACUUAAUUUGAGGGUCAUUACAUGUGAGGAUAGCAGGAGUUGAAGAUGCCAAGGACCUGAAGGGCUACUGGAGGGACAGGUGAAGUGAUUUGAAGAUGUAGCAUUUUGAAUCUCUUUCUGGCCCAUCCUCUGCUUCACACCAGAAUCAUUGUGACCUGUAGACCUGCAAAACAAAGGACCAAAGGUUAGCAUGCAGAAGUGAAAGUGUCAAUAAUAACCAAACCACUCCAUCAAGUUAGGUCUGGGGAAAAGCAGCAGCAAAAAUGAGUUCUUACUUCUGGGCACAAAAUGAAAGUAACAGACCUGAUUUACUCUGCGGGCAGCCAGCUGACUACCUUGUUGAAGAGAAACAUUUCACAACGCUUGUAUGCUUCAUUGUUGUUUUGGGAGGUGCACCAAAUUGUCUACCCUCUUCUAAGAACAUCAAGUUUUUCACUUUAUUCUUACUUUUCACCUUUAAUUAUAUUUAUGGUUGCUUUGGAUGUAGAAUUUUAUACACUCAAGAAAAUGUUUUGGCAGAUUUAGAAGAGAAAAGAUUUGAACAGAUUUGGGACACCAAGGAAGAUAUAUGGAUGGAAUAAAAGCACUUGGAAAGACGCUCAACAUCCUAAGUCAUUAGAGAAAUACACACUAAAACCACAAUGAGAUACCACUGUGUACCUAUUGGAAUAGCAACAACAAACCUGUUAAUGCCAAGUGCUGGUGAAGAUAUGAAGACAAUGAAACUUGCAUACAUUGUUGGUGAGAAUGCAAAAUGGUACAACCACUUUGGGAAACAGUUUGGGAGUUUCUUAUAAAGUUAAAUAUAUACUUGCCACAUGACUCACCAAUCUCACUCCUGUGUAUUUACCCAAGAGACAUGAAAACUUAUGUUUACAAAACCUUUAUAUGAAUCUGUAUAGCAGCUUUAUUUAUAAUCUCAAAUGUCUGGAAACAAACAUUCUUCCAUUGGUGAAUGAAUAAACAAAUCGUGGAACAUCUUUCAAUGAAAUAUUACUCAGCAAUAAAAAAGGAAUGGAGUAUCGAUAGGCACAACAAGGAAGAAUUUAAAAUGCAUUGUGCUAAGAGAAAUAAGCCAGCCUCCAAGGGGUACAUACAAAUUAUAAAAUUACAUUCAUAGACCUUCUAAAAAUGGCAAAACUGUAGGUCUGGAGAACAUCAUUGGUUGCUAGGGAAUGGUGUUGGGGAAAAGAAUUGACCACAAAGAUAUAGCAUGAGGAAAUUUUUGGGAGUGAUGUAUCUGUUUUGUUUCUUAGUUGUGGUGUGAUUACAUAACUGUAUGCAUUUAUCAAAACUCAUAUAACUGUACACCAAAAGAGUAGAUUUUACUGUUUAUAAAUUGAAAAUAAAGUUUUUAAAAGAAAUAUAUUUUGACUUUUUCUCACAUAUUAUUUCAUCAUUUUAUUUACAUGCUUUUUCUCAUUCUUCCUUUUCUGAAUUAAUU